GCGCGCGGGAAGGGCCGGGGCCUCGCCGCCCCCCUAGCCCGUUAAGGGCUAGCCUGAAUGGGCGUCAAGCAGGGGCCAGUAAUCCGGGGGCUCGGAGGCCUGCUGGGGCGGAAGCCGCCUGGGGCCGGGGUGUUGAAGCCCGUCCCGCGGGGCCGGCGGAGGCGUGGGUGCCCGCUGGAGGGCGGGUGCUACCGUCUUAGCCGGGGAAACACGGCUAGGCCCGGAAGGGAGCAACCUAGCCCCGGACGCCGGCGUUCGCGGGGGCGCGGGCUGAGCCUUCCCGGGAGGGGCCCGCUCUAAGCGCUCCGAGCUUCUGGAGUCCGCGCGC
RNAcentral lists this signal recognition particle RNA (328 nucleotides) under Thermoprotei archaeon. RNAcentral describes it as "signal recognition particle sRNA". It matches the Rfam family "Archaeal signal recognition particle RNA". Lineage: Archaea; Thermoproteati; Thermoproteota; Thermoprotei. The record is from RNAcentral.